GCAUAACGCGAAGAACCUUACCUGGCCUUGACAUUGAUAGAAUCUGCUAGAGAUAGCGGAGUGCCCUUCGGGGAGCUUGAAAACAGGUGCUGUACGGCUGUCGUCAGCUCGUGUCGUGAGAUGUAUGGUUAAGUCCAUUAACGAGCGCAACCCUUGUGUUUAGUUGGAUUUUUCUAAACAGACUGCCCUGGUAACAGGGAGGAAGGAGGGGAUGAUGUCAGGUCAGUAUUUCCCUUACAUCUGGGGCUACAAACACGCUACAAUGGCCGGUACAAAGGGCAGCCAACCCGCAAGGGGGAGCUAAUCCCAUCAAAGCCGGUCUCAGUUCGGAUUGCAGGCUGAAACUCGCCUGCAUGAAGCUGGAAUCGCUAGUAACGGUAAGUCAGCACAUUACCGUGAAUACGUUCCCGGGUCUUGUACACACCG
Molecule: ribosomal RNA, 426 nt
Filed under: uncultured bacterium
Lineage: Bacteria
Description: bacterial SSU rRNA
Rfam family: Bacterial small subunit ribosomal RNA
Source: RNAcentral